ACAAAAGCGUAUGUGCUGUGAGCUCGAUGAGUAGGGCGGGACACGUGGUAUCCUGUCUGAAUAUGGGGGGACCAUCCUCCAAGGCUAAAUACUCCUGACUGACCGAUAGUGAACCAGUACCGUGAGGGAAAGGCGAAAAGAACCCCGGCGAGGGGAGUGAAAAAGAACCUGAAACCGUGUACGUACAAGCAGUGGGAGCCCCACCACUAAGCCAGUGGUGAACUCCACAUACGCAUCCUUUGCUGAGGAUACGGUUAACGGAGCGAAAGCGACGUUCAACCGCAAAAGAAGCAGAGGGGGCUUAGUGGUGGGGUGACUGCGUACCUUUUGUAUAAUGGGUCAGCGACUUAUAUUCUGUAGCAAGGUUAACCGAAUAGGGGAGCCGGAGGGAAACCGAGUCUUAAUUGGGCGUUAAGUUGCAGGGUAUAGACCCGAAACCCGGUGAUCUAGCCAUGGGCAGGUUGAAGGUUGGGUAACACUAACUGGAGGACCGAACCGACUAAUGUUGAAAAAUUAGCGGAUGACCUGUGGCUGGGGGUGAAAGGCCAAUCAAACCGGGAGAUAGCUGGUUCUCCCCGAAAGCUAUUUAGGUAGCGCCUCGUGAAUUCAUCUCCGGGGGUAGAGCACUGUUUCGGCUAGGGGGCCAUCCCGGCUUACCAACCCGAUGCAAACUGCGAAUACCGGAGAAUGUUAUCACGGGAGACACACGGCGGGUGCUAACGUCCGUCGUGAAGAGGGAAACAACCCAGACCGCCAGCUAAGGUCCCAAAGUCAUGGUUAAGUGGGAAACGAUGUGGGAAGGCCCAGACAGCCAGGAUGUUGGCUUAGAAGCAGCCAUCAUUUAAAGAAAGCGUAAUAGCUCACUGGUCGAGUCGGCCUGCGCGGAAGAUGUAACGGGGCUAAACCAU
This 908-nucleotide ribosomal RNA is filed under the name Salmonella enterica. RNAcentral describes it as "partial 23S ribosomal RNA". It matches the Rfam family "Bacterial large subunit ribosomal RNA", at positions 379 to 1190 of the family's 2925-position model. Lineage: Bacteria; Pseudomonadati; Pseudomonadota; Gammaproteobacteria; Enterobacterales; Enterobacteriaceae. The record is from RNAcentral.